Long non-coding RNA from Homo sapiens (human), 2377 nucleotides. RefSeq lists it as uncharacterized. Lineage: Eukaryota; Metazoa; Chordata; Mammalia; Primates; Hominidae. The transcript is spliced from 3 exons. The record is from RefSeq and is a predicted model, not a curated record.
UUCUGACAUUUACUCAUUUUUUGUCUACAGAGAGUGGAUGAGAGCUCUCUGCCACUGUCCGGGAGGGCUGGGGCUGGGUGAGGUCUGGGGGCUGGGUGAGGUCUGAGGGCUGGCUGGCAGCUAGGAGGAGGGAGACAUGACGCUGACGGCCCUGCAUUGCUGCUUCCUCCAGCUGAAUCUACCACCCUGACUUAAGGGUCUCCUGGAGAAAGCCCUGGAGCAGACACCAGCCCUGGCUCGCUGCAGCCUUCGAGCCCCACUCUCUCCUCUGGACCUCAGUUUCGCCAUCCAUCCAAUGGUGACCACUCAGUCACUGCCAGAUCCUGAGCAGAUCCGUCCUGGCCCUGGGGAGUGGACCAUCAGGGGGCAGGGCUGGCCAGUGAGCAGAGAGCUGGCGGUGACAUGGGCUCAGCACAGAGCACCACGUGGGGCCUGGGAGGAGCCAUGAGAGCCGGCAGCCCUGCCUGUCCUCCAGAUGAAAGCGAGGCCCGCAGCCUGAGAGGGAGGGAGGAGACGCUAAUUACGCCCAGCGCGGGGCUCCCCAGGCAGCCUCAGCCACAGGAUCAAACACCGCCUUCCUCAGCCACGCGCCCGCCCUGCCCUGCAGGAGCAGUCACGGAGCUGCGACACCACCAGAGCUGGGACACCACCAGAGCUGCGAGACCACCAGAGCUGUGACACCACCAGAGCCGGGACACCACCAGAGCCGGGACACCACCAGAGCCGGGACACCACCAGAGCUCCGAGACCACCAGAGCUGCCACACCACCAGAGCUGUGACACCACCAGAGCCGUGACACCACCAGAGCCGGGACACCACCAGAGCCGGGACACCACCAGAGCCGCGAGACCACCAGAGCCGUGACACCACCAGAGCCGGGACACCACCAGAGCUGGGACACCACCAGAGCUGCGAGACCACCAGAGCUGGGACACCACCAGAGCUGCCACACCACCAGAGCUGCGACAGCACCAGAGCCGGGACACCAGCAGAGCCGGGACACCACCAGAGCCGCAACACCACCAGAGCUGCGACACCAGCAGAGCCGCGACACCAGCAGAGCCGGGACACCACCAGAGCCGUGACACCAGCAGAGCCGGGACACCACCAGAGCUGCGAGACCACCAGGGCCGGGACACCACCAGGGCCGGGACACCACCAGAGCUGCGAGACCACCAGGGCCGGGACACCACCAGAGCCGGGACACCACCAGAGCUGCGAGACCACCAGGGCCGUGACACCACCAGAGCCGGGACACCACCAGAGCUGGGACACCACCAGAGCUGCGAGACCACCAGAGCUGGGACACCACCAGAGCUGCCACACCACCAGAGCUGCGACACCAGCAGAGCCGCGACACCAGCAGAGCCGGGACACCAGCAGAGCCGGGACACCACCAGAGCCGUGACACCAGCAGAGCCGGGACACCACCAGGGCCGGGACACCAGCAGAGCCGGGACACCACCAGAGCCGUGACACCAGCAGAGCCGGGACACCACCAGGGCCGGGACACCACCAGAGCUGCGAGACCACCAGGGCCGGGACACCACCAGAGCCGGGACACCACCAGAGCUGGGACACCACCAGAGCUGCGAGACCACCAGAGCCGUGACACCACCAGAGCCGUGACACCAGCAGAGCUGGGACACCACCAGAGCUGUGAGACCACCAGAGCCGGGACACCACCAGAGCCGGGACACCACCAGAGCUGCGAGACCACCAGAGCCGUGACACCAGCAGAGCCGGGACACCACCAGAGCCGGGACACCACCAGAGCCGGGACACCACCAGAGCUCCGAGACCACCAGAGCUGCCACACCACCAGAGCUGUGACACCACCAGAGCUGUGACACCACCAGAGCCGGGACACCACCAGAGCCGGGACACCACCAGAGCUGCGAGACCACCAGAGCUGGGACACCACCAGAGCUGGGACACCACCAGAGCCGGGACACCACCAGAGCUCCGAGACCACCAGAGCUGCCACACCACCAGAGCUGUGACACCACCAGAGCCGGGACACCACCAGAGCCGGGACACCACCAGAGCCGGGACACCACCAGAGCUGUGACACUGUGGCUUCAGUAAAGCUGUUUCUUCUACCACUGGCUUGCCCUUGCAUUCUUUCCUGGGUGAAGCCAAAAACCCAGAGGGCUAAACUCCACUUUCGGGCUCGCCUGCCUGCAUCAUAACCAUCAGGCCUGGAGAGCCGGGUCUCUUGAGAGUAAACUGCCGUGAGAUUCUACAGGAACUCUGCCUCUCCUCUGGGCUGAGCUGUUCUGCCUCAGUUUCCUCACUAACAAAAUGGGGUGACAUCUUGAGGUGGCCCCUCUCGGUGCUGCCAGCCUCUCUGCUCCCCACUCUUUUUGGGCAGCC